CUUCCUUUGCCCUAGCGAGCAGCCUCGGCCCAAAUGUGAUCCCACUCUCUCCCAAUCUGGACAACUAGCGGCGAAUCCCCAUUCUCCGGCGAGCCGCGGCGAGGCCCUUCUCCGGCACGACCGCUGCUUGCUGCAGCGUCAAGCUCCCCGUACUGCCGUCUCACCUCCGCAGCCUCGUUCCGGUUGCUGCCUGGCCGACCGCACUCGCCGACGACCGGAAGCAACCAUUACGCGAUGCAACCUGGAUCUCACCGCCGUCUGUUCCGCCGUCCCUCGCCCUAGCUGAUAUAAGUUCAUCUGCUAGAUAAGCUCAAAGGAGAUAUAGAACCUCGGCAGGGGAUGACCACAGCUGUACUAACUGAUGACCUAGUGGUGGAGAUAUUGUCUGGGCUGCCGCUUAAGUCUUUUUGCCGUUUCAAAUGUGUCUCCAAGUCUUGGAUUGCCUUCUCAUCUGAUCCGCACUACCGCCAGAAGCUCCCCAGACCUCCCGUCGGUCUCCUGUACCAAAAAAGAGAGCAUGACCCUGCCAUCCAUCUUGCGGGCCUUCCCUCAAGUGACAGGGAUAUUGACACAACACUUAGCUUUGUGCCAUGUUAUGAGCAUCCCUUAAAGCUUCAGGAUUGCAGCAAUGGCUUACUUCUUUGUUAUCAUGGUGAUACGUACUAUAAAGAAAUUUUUGACGCGAUCGUGUGCAAUCCAGCAACUAAAGAGUGGAUGGCACUUCCAGAUACUGAACCUGGACUAGCCGUCUCAUUUUCUGUUCUCAGGUUGUGUUUUGAUCCAUUAUGGUCUCAACACUUCUAUGUCUUCAAAUUUGAGUCAAGCUCGAGCCCAAAUGGUGGAUAUGACACUGAAGUUAAGGUAUUUUUCUCCGAGGAUUCCACAUGGUCUAGUUGUCUUUGGGAAACUAGUGAUGCAUUUACUGGUGCUUGGCUCUUCGUAAAUGGGGUGUUGUAUGUGGAGCACUUAUGGAGGCAUUACCUUCUGGCACUCGAUGCACCUGACACAUGCACACAGCAGCUCAAUCAUAGGACCAUUCAGUUGCCAGGGUUUCCAUAUGGAGUAGAUCAGAUGUUUUAUUGCUUUGACGGGCGUCUUUGGCAGUCAUCUGGAGUCUUAUGCUAUGCACAACAAGAAUUGGAUGGUUGCAUGAUCCGAAUUUGGAAUUUGGAAGAAUCUGAUAGGUGGGUGGUGAAGCAUCGUCUAAAUAUGAACAAUGUAUUUGGGAGGGACAUAAUGCUCCAUACUAACAAUGAAGGAUUAUGGUACUUUGAUUAUGAAAUCCUGGCAUUUGACUUGGAGAGAGAGCUAGUUUUCCUUGCUGACACAAUUGCUGAUAAUAAGAUCAUCUCAUAUAGCAUCAGUACUGGAAAGGGCUCGCAGAUUCUAAACAUUCCAAGGUUUGUUGACCUCUAUCGAAGUCUACUCUACGUGCCAUACUAUGGCAAGUUUCCAGCUUCUGUGCUUCAGGGAGCUCAAGACAAAUGUUAGAAUAUUUACCCAAUGGAUGAUGUAAUCUCUAGGUAUCUUUUGUGCGCUAGCUGUGCCAAACAGCCGUUAUGUAUGUUCAUCUAAUUGUCACUUCUCAUUUCUCCUGUUAACACUGGUCUUGCUUAUGCUAGUAUAAUUUAGGAAACCUGCAUAGUAACAUGAAGCUUUGGGUAAAAGGAUGUGUGAUGCAGUGUGUGCUUUCUAUACAAUGGCUGGGAGCACUCUUGUAAUCUUGCCAGGUUUCAGUCUCUCGGCAUAGCAGCAGCCAGCUCUCAUAUGUUAGGUUGUUACCAAAUGAGCUAAUGUUUCAGUCAUCGUGAAGUCCAGUAGGACCCCCCUUGCCGAGACAGUGCGGAGAUUCGAGCAGCUAGCAUGCUUCGCCGAUGAGUUCUUCAGGAAAAUGAUGAAUUCGGAUGGUUCGUCAGACGAGGAGUAUGGAAACACGGAGCUUGAUGAAGUAAUGCAAAAGGAGUCCUUAGAUUCGUCGGAGUCGAACGAAGAUGUUGUGAUGAUGAUGAUCAUGAGCAUCCAAGAGGAAAUGGGCAGGGAAGUGAGACACGUUUUGAACUUUAAGGAUUAGAUCAAAGGGAGAGGAGUUUUGAACCGGGAUCGCCUACCAGCGAAGUCGGAAGCACACGGUUAUUAUGAUAAACACGUUGUCGAAGAACACACACAUCGACCUAUGACCCCCCUUCAAGAUGUAUAUGAAAUUUUAAUGAGCUGGAGGCGAGCAGGAAUUGCGCCUGCAGGCACUGUAAUAUUACUGAAACUUGUUUUUUUAGUUGAAAGCUAUCAUUUGAUAGUUUUUAGAAGCCCCCA
RNA transcript from Triticum dicoccoides, 2310 nucleotides. It is a transcript of the gene named putative F-box protein At5g62660, with no coding region annotated. The transcript has 4 exons. NCBI's taxonomy places the organism in Eukaryota, Viridiplantae, Streptophyta, Magnoliopsida, Poales, Poaceae. The record is from RefSeq and is a predicted model, not a curated record.